Molecule: long non-coding RNA, 871 nt
Organism: Rhineura floridana
Lineage: Eukaryota; Metazoa; Chordata; Lepidosauria; Squamata; Rhineuridae
Exons: 4
Source: RefSeq, a predicted model, not a curated record
CUCUUGCUGGAAACUCUUUGUAGCCAACCUGGCUUGUGAUCCUGUGUCUUCAACCAUGCCCUGCCUAAUUAGAUCUCCGGUACCUUGACUUUGGACUCGUCUGUUCUCUCGGCUCUUCCUACCUGGAUCUACUUUACAGGAUUGUUGUGAGGACGAAAAGGCUAUAAAACACAUUGGCAAACUUAAAAUGCUAUCACAAAAAGUAGGACGGUGCAGAGGAUGGUUCAGGAGAUGGAUAUGGAGAAAAACAGUACAGGUGGAGACCACAUAACUUUUCUCCCAACAGAGAAGCAACAGUGUCAGUAGAGCCUCACUCUGAACCAAAGUACACCUGAAAACGACUCAAGGAAUCGAGAUAUCAAACCCAUUAUGUAGAAUGAGGCAGUAGGCUGUGGUGGCAAGACAGCAUUGUCUCCUUUCCUGAUGUGUUACUUUACUACAUACUUGUUAUAACAUGGUGGAGCAUUUAAUAAUAUGGCUUCCUCCACACAGAAUUCUGUCACGUCAGACUAUCGCCUGUGUUGUCUGAGCCAGGCCUGAUUCCUGGAACAUGUAGCAUAAUAACAAGGACAGUGUUUCUGAGGAAAUCACACACGGUGCCCUUUCUUCUCUGCUGAGCAAAUAGAAAGCAUUUUAUACAACUGGGAUUGGGACUGGGGUGUGCAAGAAAUUAUCGCCUUACAUGAGGCAACUGAAUCCCUGAAAAGGUUUUCAGCCUCUAAACAUUUUGUGCCAUUGAGUUAUUCUGAGGCUCUUUGGGGGCUUUCCCCCACUUAGGUUUGUUUUUUCUUCAGAUGUUUCUACUUGUGCAGAGCCUUGGAAGUUACCACAGGUCUGCCAAUACCUCUGUCUUGUGUGUGGGUGAUGCAGU